This 409-nucleotide ribosomal RNA is filed under the name uncultured bacterium. Its description in RNAcentral is "bacterial SSU rRNA". It matches the Rfam family "Bacterial small subunit ribosomal RNA", at positions 355 to 761 of the family's 1533-position model. The record is from RNAcentral.
UAAGGAAUAUUGGACAAUGGAGGCAACUCUGAUCCAGCCAUGCCGCGUGAAGGAAUAAGGCCCUAUGGGUUGUAAACUUCUUUUAGACGGGACAAAACCCCUUUACGUGUAAAGGGUUGAUGGUACUGUCAGAAUAAGCAUCGGCUAACUUCGUGCCAGCAGCCGCGGUAAUACGAAGGAUGCAAGCGUUAUCCGGAAUUAUUGGUUUUAAAGGGUGCGUAGGCGGACUAAUAAGUCAGUGGUGAAAGCCUGCAGCUUAACUGCAGAAUUGCCAUUUAUACUGUUAGUCUUGAGUACAGUUGAGGUCGGCGGAAUGUGACAUGUAGCGGUGAAUUGCUUAGAUAUGACACAGAACACCAGUUGCGAAGGCGGGCUCUUGGUCCGACACUGACGCGGAGUCGCGAAAGCG